This 113-nucleotide microRNA precursor is filed under the name Bigelowiella natans CCMP2755. Its description in RNAcentral is "miRNA EPrBNAG00000013634". It matches the Rfam family "mir-598 microRNA precursor family". The record is from RNAcentral. Lineage: Eukaryota; Cercozoa; Chlorarachniophyceae.
UGAUGAUGAUGAUGAUGAUGAUGAUGGUGAUGAUGGUGGUGAGGGGUACAGCAUAGUACUACUAUAUAUGCAGAUCAUCAUCAUUAUUAUCACCAUCAUCAUCAUAAUCAUCA